Molecule: long non-coding RNA, 352 nt
Filed under: Hordeum vulgare
Lineage: Eukaryota; Viridiplantae; Streptophyta; Magnoliopsida; Poales; Poaceae
Description: long non-coding RNA (HVUL_LNC010314)
Source: RNAcentral
UCCUAUUGUGGUAAUACCCUACGUCCUACUUGAUUGUACUGAUGAAGAUGAUUACAGAGUAGAUCUACCUCGUGAUCACAUAUGCUAAACCCUAGGUGAUUCAACAUCCUCUACACGAAUAAGAGUCCGUGGUUUAUAUUGACACCACAGUCCCUAGGAUUUAAAAGUUACCGACUAUAAUCGAAGAUAGAUGAGCCAACGUAUUCUUCCUAAGCUUGAAGUACACGCCAAUAUUCGGGAUAUUCCUUCUAGAGUAGAGGUCCUCAUCAGGCCCAGUCUUCUUCAGUGUGGCCCAAUGGGCUCACCCAAUAUUGACUAACCUGCCGCCCGAGGACCCCAGAAUCCCGGAGUC